RNAcentral lists this long non-coding RNA (7483 nucleotides) under Triticum aestivum (bread wheat). Its description in RNAcentral is "long non-coding RNA (TAES_LNC002985)". The record is from RNAcentral. Lineage: Eukaryota; Viridiplantae; Streptophyta; Magnoliopsida; Poales; Poaceae.
CCCUUUUUUUUGUAACGGUACUUUAUUUAAAAAUUAGCCAUUUGAUUAAUGCAAUACAAAGCUUUAAAAUCAUCUAUAUUUGUUAAUAAAAACAUUAACACGACCUCAAAUCUCUUUGAGGCUUCCAGUAUACUCUCUCACUUAUUUUUCGUUUCAUCUAGACUUCAUGUGUCAUUUACUCCCUCCGUCCCAAAAUAUAAGAACGUUUUUGACAUUAUGCUAAUAUCAAAAACGUUCUUAUAUCUUGAGACGCAGGGAGUAGAUCUUAUGUUUCGAAUUCAUAUGAGGCAAGGUAUAUAUCUCAAUAAUGUAUCUCUAUUUGCAAGUAGUUUUUUGAGGUUCCAUACCCUUUAGCAGCCGUCGGCAGCAGACAACAAUUGCAUAAGAAAAGAAUAGUACACAAAAAGUGUUUGACUGCACAUAGAAAAUCUGAAGAUUACGUUUAUGCAGCAUUUCCGGCCCUGACGGCGAUAGACAGAAACGCCUCCUCGUCCGAAAAGAGGCCAUCUCGUGAGCUUCCUCGCCUUCGCACGCGGACCGCCGGCACCGGCCACCACCACCGUCAUGUUGCGCACAGCCGCUUCCCGCCUCCUCGUGCCCCUCCGGAGGCCCUCCCUGUCUCCGGCACCCUCCACGGCGGCCUGCACUCUGCGGCACCUCCGCCUCUUCUCCCCGCCGCCGCAGCCGCGUCGGGGUCCGGAUGCGGAGGUGACGCCGGCGGAGGCGCGGCGUCUGGUGCGGCUCGUGGGCGUGGAGGCGCUCAAGAGGCGGCUGCGGGAGGACGGGCGGGGCGAGGUGGUCGGCUACGGGGAGCUCCUCGACGCCUGCGUCGAGGCCGGCGCGGCCCGCACGCGCGGCGAGGCGGAGGUGCUGGCCCGGGCCAUGGAUGACGCUGGCGUCGUGCUUCUCUUUCGGGACAAGGCGUACCUCCACCCCGAGAAGGUCAACAUUUUGCUCUUGCUAGGUUUUUCUUCACUGGCACCUUCCCUCUUUCGUACCUAAACCUAACUAAACGAGGUGCUUUCACGACGAUCUGUUCUCCGAUUCCAAUUGGCAGCAUUUAUUUAGUGAUUCGAGUCCUUCUGCACGGAGAGAUUUACUCGUGAAAGCGCAAACUUUUUGACUACUACAGUUUAGUAAUAUUUGCGAAUUGGAUGUUCUAUGAUCACUAAUUUACCAGAUCACUACAUAGGUUGAAUAGGUUGCAACUCAAAGCUGAUCAAAUUUGGUAGAAAUACAGUGGCUUCAAAUGCAAUUUCAUUCACCUCAGUUUUUAUUUUCGGCCUAUAAUUAUGUUGUAAGUGGGAAAUGUAUGUAUUGGGGUCAUGCAUUCCCUGUUUGAACCGCUGCGCCAUAGGGAGUCAUGUAGACUGAUUUGCUGGCCGAAUCAAUUAGAUAAUAUUGACCACUGUUAAAUUGCGGAAUUGUGUUUAAUUGCGUGGAUGAACAACGAACAGUGGAAAGGACUAGUGUUGGGUAUAAUUGGGAGGUAACAAUAAUUUAGCUGAAGUAGCAUAUAUUCAGCAGGUGCGUAGAUUAAUUUUAUCAGAGUUAUAAAAAACAAGAUUGGACAAUUCACCUCAUGUGGUAGAAAUAAGGGAUCUCCCUUCUCUUCACCUACCCUGGUCAGAAUAAGGACCUUAGAAUCCUGUGAGCAGAAAAGUGGACAUUGUGUUCCUAUUUAGGUGAUGCCUACACCAGUUAAAAGCAUCCAAGCAUCCACCUCACAUGUGGGCAAUAAAUCCAAAAACUUUAUCUUUAUUCAACAAGGAUUGCCUCAUCAAUAAUUCAGCAUAACGUUGUUUCUGUUGCUUUCAUAUGUGGGCAAGUGACAACUUUGAAAUCUUUUGUGGUGAUCGUUUAUGUAUGGUUGUGAGUUACUCCCUCUGUCCCACAAUAUAACACGUUUCUGCAAGCUAGCCUAGCUUGCAAAAACAUCUUAUAUUAUGGGACGGAGGGAAUAUCUGGUUUUUCUUAUGCUAUACGAAAAAAGGCGGACAUGCAGUUCAAUUUUCAACUGAUAUAUUUAUGGUCAAUCACUGUUUUUAGGUUGUGGACCUGGUCAGAAGGGCGGUGCCGCUUGCACUCGCACCAGACAACGACACGAGAAAGGAAGAGUUUAAGCAGCUCCAGGAAAAGAAGGAAGAGAUCGACAAGCUGGCACACAAGCAAGUCCGGCGAGUCCUGUGGACUGGCUUAGGGUUCUUCAUGAUCCAGGUUGGGAUCUUCUUCCGUCUCACGUUCUGGGAGUUCUCAUGGGACGUGAUGGAGCCGAUCGCCUUCUUCACGACCACCUCGGGGCUGCUGGUUGGCUAUGCCUACUUCGUCAUCACCUCAAGGGACCCGACGUAUCAAGACUUCAUGGAGAGGAUGUUUGAGUCGAGGAGGAGAAAGCUUUGCGUGAAGCAUGGUUUCAACAUGGAGAAGUACCUGGAGCUGCAGAAACAUUGCAAGUGCCCUCUGGAAGACCAUCAUUCUCAGGGGCAUGACUCGCAACACCUGAGCUGAAGUUUCUCAGUUGUUUCUUGAUGCUGACAGUGUCAUCUCUAGCUUUUAGAAGAGCGGCCGUUUGCAUUAUCUUAUACUGAGUUUGUAUUACCAAAGUGAUAUAUAUAUAUUUACAUAAACCAGCUGUCGCCUAACAGGUUAAACCUAAGAGUUUAAGCUUAUUUAGCCCUGUGUGUAUCAAGUGGGUGUGCGAGCUGUGGUUGUGGUCACAGCUCUGCAAGUGUUCAACUAUCAAUCUUGCAGCGCCGGCAAGGCCAGGGCUUGGGCUGUCAGCCCAAUGCGGUGACAAGCUGACAGCCACCAUCAUCUGCACUUCGUUAGAGCAUCUCUAAUAGAAUAUACAAAUUUGGAGAUGUAAACAGGAUACAAAUUUGGAGAUGUAAACAGGAUACAAAUUUGGAAAUGUAAACAGGAGAUGUAAAAAUUUGCAUCUUCAAAAAGUGCAUUUUGCAUCUUCAAAAAAAAGGCAACUCCAAUAGAUUAUGUAUAUUUGUGAUGUAAAAGUGCAACUCCAACAGAUGAUGCAAACGAAGAUGUAAACUAGUUCAACGGCGGCAUGGAGGUGGUGCGGGCUGCGGACUAAGCGGCAGCGACCGAGCACCGAAGGAGCGCCAACGGCCGAGCGAUGAGGAGCGGCGCGGCGCUCGAGCCUUUGCCUUCAAAUGUGGCAGCGGGAGCUCAAAUGGCCAGCAGCAUGGGCUCGAAUUGGGCGGCGGAUUAACAGCGGCGCGGGCUCAAAUUGGGCGGUGGAUUAGCAGCGGCGGGGCGGCGCAAGAAGCACGAAUCAAGUGGCGGCAGCAUGGAGGCGGGUGUGCGGCUCGAAUCCAGAAUCGGCGGGGUGGUAGGGGAGCUCGAAUCAGGCGGCGGCGUCGUGGCGACGAAAAAACGACAGACGCAGCCGAUUUUCUAGCGGAGGGCGGCGGAUGUGCGGCUCGAAUCCGCGGUGGCGGUGCGGCGGAGGAAGCUCAAACCUGGAGGCGACGUCGCGGUGACGAAAAAACAGGUGAUGCAGCCGAUUUUUAGGCCGAGGACGGCGGAAAAGCGAUGGCACCGGCGACGGGGGAAGUCGGGUUGGCGCGCGGCUUUCAGUUUUGCAUCUGUGUUUACAUCUCCGACGGUUGGAGAUGUAAAUUUGUAUCACGAGGUGUUGUAUUUUACAUCUUCGUGAGGUGGAUCUAUAUCUUCUGUUGAAGAGGGAUUUGGGGACCUUGAAAAUGAAUUUAGUUAUUUUUACAUCAACAUCAUCUAUUGAAGAUGCUCGUUGCAUAUUUCGUAACAAGAUAUUGAAGCCCUAGGUUUUCUCUUAUCCUUGGCCACCGCAGCUCAUCCAAUCUAGAUUGAUUUUCUUCUUGUUGUUCUUCUUCCCUGACUAACUCUCGGCCUCCUUUCCCUGAUUGAUUCUCGGUCUCCUUUCGAUACAGAUAGGUUUGUUCCCCGUCGAUUUGUUGCUUCCCACCACCACCCAUCAAUUUACUGCUGCUCCACUCUCGCAACCUUGCCUGGCUGCUCUUCCCGUCAGCAGUCGUCCCAGCACGUCCUCAUGUUCCACGAGGCCGCGGGCUAAACUCCAACCAUUUUGUCCACGCGCCAAACGGACACAAAAAUCGGCCCAAAUAAACGUGCGUCCGCCUUUUAUCCGUCUGUUGACCCAUUUCCAGUCCAAAUUUAGACCUCGUUUGCAUCGAUGCGGAAACAAGGAGGACGCGCGCGAUGCCUGCCUACUUCUCUUCCUGGCCCGCUAGUCGGUGGCACAUAGGCCAUUCUCUUCCUCCCAUGGACAGCCAGCACACCCGGCUGCCCCACCCCGUCGCCACCACCACCCAGUUCUGGUGCCUAGGCCACCCGUCCGCGCCCACAUACCUCCCUCGCAGCACGCCACCUUCCAACGUCGCUGCCACCACCGCCUCGCCACAUCGUGGCAACUUCCCUGACAUCGCCGCCAACACCACCUCGCCCACGUGCCCCCGGCCCUUCCUGAAGCGGACAAAAGUGCAACGACCUCGCUCGUCUGACGCCGCCACGCUUGUCGGGCGCCGCCAAGGCCAGCUACCUGGUCCAGAGGAGGCGCGUGGCGCUUCACCGGUCAGCUUCUUCGACGAUGCCCGCAAGCUAUUCGACGGUUUUGCUCGCAAUGUACAAAUGGACUCCGCCGACGAGUUCUUUUUCCACAAUUUCAUUUGCGACUCUGGUGACUCUUCAUCCGACAAUGAGGAGCUUGCAGCUGCUGUGUUGGUCGUCCAUGACCACCUUAGUAGGCAGCAGCCGAUGUUCCGGGGCUCGAUCCCGGGGCACACUCCAGCGUUGGAUCGCAACCGAGAGAGCGGUCAUUUCCUACUCUGGAAGGACUACUUCGAGACACCCAACCCGCUCUUCAAACAUUACCUAUUCCGGCGGCAUUUUUGUAUGGCUAGGCAUGUUUUCAACCAUAUCCGGGAGGGAAUGGUGGCAUACGAUAAAUAUGUCUGAGUGCAAGGAGGAUGCCCUUGGGAAGAUUGGCUUCUCCUCUUAUUAAAAAUGCACUGCAGCUAUUCGGAUGCUUGCAUACGGAGUUUCCGGUGAUCUCAUUGAUGAGUAUGUCCGUAUGAGCGAGUGCACAUGUUUAGAGUCCAUGUAUAAGUUCUGCAAGGCUGUGAUAGCAGUGUUUGGCCCUGAGUAAUUGAGAGAGCCAAAUGUUGCAACAACCCGCUUGUUGGUGAUGAAUGCCAGCAGGGGCUUUUCGGGGAUGCUUGGUAGCAUAGAUUUUAUGCACUGGGAGUGGAAAAACCGCCCUUCUGCUUGGCAGGGGCGGCAAGGGGCCAUGUUAAAGCUCGCACCGUCAUACUCGAGGCCAUGGCAUUACAAGAUCUCUGGAUUUGGCACUCUUUGUUCGGCAUGGCCGGAUCUCACAAUGAUAUCAAUGUGCUUCAACGCUCUCCGGUGUUUGCAAGGCUUGCCGAAGGCAACUACCCGAAGGUCAAUGUUAACAUCAAUGGCCACAACUACAACGAAGGAUACUACCUAGCUGACGAUAUUUAUCCUCAAUGGACUACUCUGAUGAAGACAAUCUCCAAUCCUGUAGGAGAGAAGAGGAAGAGAUUUGUCCAAGAGCAAGAGAGUGCUAGGAAGGAUGUGGAGCAUGCCUUUGGUGUUCUGCAAUCUUGAUGGGCAAUCGUUUAGUAUCCUGCUAGAAUUUGGAGCACUAAGUUGUGGGAGGUAAUGACUGCUUGUGUGAUCAUGCAGAAUAUGAUCGCAGAGAAUGAGCGUCCGGAACGUAUCUAUGACCAAGGGUUUCAGUUUCAGAGUGACAAUGUUGUGCUUGAGCAUGGAGGAGCAGCAACGUUUGCACGGUUCGCCUAAUUUCAUCAUCAAAUGCGUUGUUGUGAAACUCACAUUUAGCUGCAAAAUGAUUUGAUUGAGUAUAUGUGGGUUCAUGUUGGCAACCAAUAGAUGUAUCUUUUCUUAAAUGUAUCUGAGACAAUUUAAUUUUUAUUUGUCUUGUAAACUAUGAUAUAAUUGUUUGGUUGUAAAACUGUGUAAGAUAUUUAUAUUUUUUUUGAAAAAAACACGUCCGCAAGUUGGGUGCACUGCCAACCCAAACGCAAAAGGGGGCGGACGACAAAAAUCAUCAGCACCUUGGAAUUGCUCUAACGUUUGCCAUUUCAAAGGCUUGCACCAUUAUUGGAGUGAGCAAACCUCUGCGAACUGAAUUUUUGACAAAAAGGACCCCUUGACCAGCGAAAAUGUCAAAAAAGACCACCCAUGGACAAAAAUGUCAAAAAAGACCAUCUACACCGUGGCGGCAGGUGCGCCAGCCGACACGUGGCACCUGCCGCCACGGGAUCCGGCGGCAGCACCUGCCGCCACCGGCUUAGGCGGCAGCCUCAGCUGCAUAGAAUUUUGACCGACGACGCAUGCGAAAACGGAACGGGCUGGCGACAUGGCACCCGCCGCCCCGCUCUCUGGCAGCAGCCUGUGCUGCUUUUCUGUUGGGCCAUAGGUGGCAGACGCUUUGCUAGUCGAGAUGCACUGGCCAGAUGCCUUUUCUGUUGAUUGAGUUAGACUAAACACCUCAGUCGGUCAGUCCUGUAUUUAGGAUUAAUCCAGAUGACUCCACAUAGCACAGGGCAACGAGAGAGAGAUGGGUGCACAGAAAACAAAACGGCAGAGGCACCACGGCCAGCAAUGCGUCUGCCACACUAAGAACCAACGGACGUGCCGUUUGGCGUGAAAAGCAGCACAGGCUGCCGCCAAGGAGCGUGGCGGCAGGUGCCACAUCGCCAGCCCGUUCCGUUCUUGUGUGUGCCAUCGACCGAAAUUCUGUGCAGCUGAGGCUGCCGGUCGAGCCAGUUGCGGCAGGUGCUGCCGCCAGAUCCCGUGGCGGCAGGUGCCACGUGUCGGCUGGUGCACCUGCCGCCACGGUGCAGGUGGUCCUUUUUGACAUUGUCGCUCGUAGGUGGUCUUUUUUGACAAUUUCACUGGGCAGGUGGUUCUUUUUGACGAAAAAUCCUGCGAACUCGCGCAGAGCAAACAUCAACCGCAGUUCCAGAACCAGGAUAAAAAAAUGUAGCAAAGCUCCACAAAAGCAGAGAAAUUAGAUUGCGAUGGAUAACAGGAAUUUGGCUUUCUAGUGUGAAAACAGAAAUGUCAGCACAACAAUUCUCACACUGAGUACAUGAGGUAAAGUACUGGUUUCCUCAUGUAAACCCUUGGUUGACUACAGCUAUGCGCCCACUUGUUCCAAUAUUCAGACAUUACAACUUUUUUGGCCAACGAUAACGCUGGGAAAUAUUUGUCCAAGGCAACAUGAAAGUCACCGCACUUCAAUGAUUUAUGGAAGAAUAAGGGGGUUCCAAUGUUCAUGCUGUUUCCUAUUAGUAAUGGACUAUUGGCUGGCCCAGUAAGUGUUACUGGUACAGAUUACUAGCUGCAUCACGUUCUUGUCUGAUACUGAUCUCACCAUCGGUGUUGUAUCUGAAAGGGGAACAACAAUAAUAUA